UACGUAGGGUGCAAGCGUUAAUCGGAAUUACUGGGCGUAAAGGGCGCGUAGGCGGCCCGCUAAGUCGAACGUGAAAUCCCCAGGCUCAACCUGGGAACUGCGUCCGAUACUGGCAGGCUUGAAUCCGGGAGAGGGAUGUGGAAUUCCAGGUGUAGCGGUGAAAUGCGUAGAUAUCUGGAGGAACACCGGUGGCGAAGGCGGCAUCCUGGACCGGUAUUGACGCUGAGGCGCGAAAGCUAGGGGAGCAAACGGG
Molecule: ribosomal RNA, 253 nt
Filed under: uncultured bacterium
Lineage: Bacteria
Description: partial 16S ribosomal RNA
Rfam family: Bacterial small subunit ribosomal RNA
Source: RNAcentral